GAGCAAUCUGCCUCGAAGCCGGGGAUAACCUUCCUAACGGGGGGGCUAAUACCGGAUGUGUUUACCGGGUGGCAUCGCCUGGUGAAUAAAGAUGGCGUGCUGAGCGCUAUCACUUUGAGAUGAGCUCGCGGCCUAUUAGCUUGUUGGUGGGGUAACGGCCCACCAAGGCGACGAUGGGUAGCCGGCCUGAGAGGGUGACCGGCCACAUCGGGACUGAGAUACGGCCCAG
Molecule: ribosomal RNA, 229 nt
Filed under: uncultured bacterium
Lineage: Bacteria
Description: partial 16S ribosomal RNA
Rfam family: Bacterial small subunit ribosomal RNA
Source: RNAcentral